This is a long non-coding RNA of Perognathus longimembris pacificus (Pacific pocket mouse), 607 nucleotides long. RefSeq lists it as uncharacterized. The record is from RefSeq and is a predicted model, not a curated record. NCBI's taxonomy places the organism in Eukaryota, Metazoa, Chordata, Mammalia, Rodentia, Heteromyidae. The transcript has 2 exons.
CAGAGCGCUGGAACCAAGCGGAGCUGAGGCUGCCUUCUGCGCGCGCCCGACUCCGCUCCCCCCCCACCUCCGGGAGGUGGGGGCUAGGCGGCAUCCCCCGCCCCCUCCCCACCGUGAUCAGAAAGAUGAACUGGCAAGAGGUCUGCUUUGCCUGAACCUAUCAGCUGGGAGAUUAAUCGACCACACUGAAAUAUGCCUGGAUGGGAGGAAAACUUGUGAGGGAGGGGUUAGAAUGUAGAUGUUUGAACCAAAUGUGUAUAAAUAAAUUGUUGAUAACUUAGUUAAAAACCUGGAGACUGGUGGCUAGUUAAAGAAACUCUACAUUACUCAUUUCUAGAGCUGGGUAUUUCUGUAGGCACUUUUGUCUCCACUUUCAAAAGCUUGCACUUUAGCCUGCCAUCGGCUGCUCCAUUCUGUUAUUGCUAAUUUAAACCUACAGCUUGAGCCUAUACUGGAAGCCAAAUCCAUUCCCUUAAAAAUUAAAACAAAACAAAAAAAAAAAACACUUGUCAAGAAGCCCUAGCCAUUUUCUGGCUGCCUUCUUUGUUGCUGUCUGUUGAAGACUUUGAACAUGACACCUUAAUAAAUAUAUUAAAAUUGAAAAGAA